Molecule: ribosomal RNA, 219 nt
Filed under: uncultured fungus
Lineage: Eukaryota; Fungi
Description: partial small subunit ribosomal RNA
Rfam family: Eukaryotic small subunit ribosomal RNA (bases 48-219)
Source: RNAcentral
GGCUAGAGACUAUUGGUCCUUUUAAUGUAAAGGUACUGGUAGGAAGGCUAGUCUUUUUUUCUAGAGGCCUAUAUGCCUUUCGGGGUGUGAUAGGAAAAGCUCUAGGACUAGAUACUGUGAAGAAAUUAGAGUGUUUAAGGCAGGCAUGGAGAGCAUGAAUACAUUAGCAUGGAAUAAUAGAAUAAGACUUUUAUUCUAUUGGUUUUGAGGAUGAAAGUA